AACGAACGCUGGCGGCAGGCUUAACACAUGCAAGUCGAACGAGAUCUUCGGAUCUAGUGACAGACGGGUGAGGAACACGUGGGAACAUCCCUUUCAGUUCGGAAUAACGUUGGGAAACUAACGCUAAUACCGGAUACGUCCUUCGGGAGAAAGAUUUAUCGCUGAAAGAUUGGCCCGCGUCUGAUUAGCUAGUUGGUGAGGUAAUGGCUCACCAAGGCUACGAUCAGUAGCUGAUCUGAGAGGAUGAUCAGCCACAUUGGGACUGAGACACGGCCCAAACUCCUACGGGAGGCAGCAGUGGGGAAUAUUGGACAAUGGGCGCAAGCCUGAUCCAGCCAUGCCGCGUGAGUGAUGACGGCCUUCGGGUUGUAAAGCUCUUUUGUCCGGGAAGAUAAUGACUGUACCGAAAGAAUAAGCCCCGGCAAACUUCGUGCCAGCAGCCGCCGUAA
This 449-nucleotide ribosomal RNA is filed under the name uncultured bacterium. Its description in RNAcentral is "partial 16S ribosomal RNA". It matches the Rfam family "Bacterial small subunit ribosomal RNA", at positions 29 to 523 of the family's 1533-position model. The record is from RNAcentral.